Molecule: long non-coding RNA, 1331 nt
Filed under: Lupinus angustifolius (narrow-leaved blue lupine)
Lineage: Eukaryota; Viridiplantae; Streptophyta; Magnoliopsida; Fabales; Fabaceae
Description: long non-coding RNA (LANG_LNC003756)
Source: RNAcentral
UUUAAUAUUUGAGUUCUUGUUUUUUACCAUGUUGCUUCUGUUGAUUUUUUUGCAACGGAUGAAGAAACAUACAAAUAACAUAAUCAAGAAAGAUUGAUAAAUAAUGAUUUAUUUUUUGAGUGCCCAUUCUGACCCUUUAUAAUUGGUACACAUAAUAAAAGAGAUUAGUAUGUUUGUCUCAUGUUGCCUACAAUCUGGAGUAUGGAUGAGUUAAAUCCUAAUUGGUUGAUGGUCCUAAAUGCAACUGCAACAUGAAUUCUUUAUUCAUAAUGGAUGGAUGGUUGGAUCGAAAUUAUAUACUUGGUCGUAUGAAUUCUUUAUUCAUAAUAUUAAAAAUAGAUGGUAUGCUUUUAUGAUUUCACUCAAGGAUCUUGAUGAAACUAAAUUUAAGUGGCUAUAGAAACCCUGGUGGUUGUUUUGGACUGCGAGAUUGAACGUUGCUGGCAAGGUGAAUGCUUAAUUCAUAAUAUGAUACUGGAUGAUAUGUUUGACACUAGUUGCCUAUGGUUUUGAAUUCAGAUGCGACCCUAAUUUGCAAAAUUACCGGAAAUGCAAUUACAAUUUAAAUUCUCAAUCUUUAGUGCAAAAUUGGGAUUGUAUACUUGAGUCAUUGGUGGUCUUCAAUGCAAAUUGUAGUAUGAAUUCUUUGUUCAUAAUAUAAAUUGGGAUGCUAUGCUGGGGGACAUGAUAUCCCAAAAUACAAUUGUAAUAUGGACUCUUUAUUAACUAUGCAAAGAGAUGGUAUAAUUUGCCUCGAUGACCCUAAAUGCAAAUUAUACUACAGAUUCAUUAUAUAUAAUUUGCCUUGAUGACCCUAAAUGCAAAUUAUACUACAAAUUCGUUAUAUAAUCCUUUUAUGUUAUGCCUUGAAUAUGCUAUCAUUGUUAUGUUUUCCAAGCAUGGACACUCCAAUGAUUUUCCUUCCCAUCUUGUUCAUGGAUGAAUGAAGUCCUGGUUAGUGCCGGAUUGAGGUAGUGACUUACAAAAGGAGUUGCUUUUUCGUAACAAAGUAUGUGAUGUUUGACAAAGAAAUAAAAGCAAAAGAAGAAUCAACUUAAAGACAAUCUUCUCUACAAGCAAUUAUAUGUAUGUAUAGGGCCUAUGAAAAAAUUAGUAUCUGUUCAUUUGACCUUAAUUGCCUACAAAUUUAAAUUAAUUUGAGACCCUUAUAAUUGGCUGGCAGAUGCAAUGUAUUUACAAAUAUGUAAGAAAUAUGCGAUGUAUUUUACUAUAAUUAUGGGAAAAUAUGGUAGAUAUGGUUGGAAAGGCUGUUAUUGCAGUUGUGCACUGCACUUCUGGCUUUACUCAAAACUACGGAGGUUUGUCUUCUU